Molecule: ribosomal RNA, 503 nt
Filed under: uncultured bacterium
Lineage: Bacteria
Description: bacterial SSU rRNA
Rfam family: Bacterial small subunit ribosomal RNA
Source: RNAcentral
UGGGGAAUCUUCCGCAAUGGGCGCAAAGCCUGACGGAGUGACGCCGCGUGGGGGACGAAGGCCUUCGGGUCGUAAACCCCUGUCAGAGGGAAAGAAGGGUCAUGCGGUGAACAGCCGCGUGGCUUGACGGUACCUUCAGAGGAAGCCCCGGCCAACUCUGUGCCAGCAGCCGCGGCAAGACAGAGGGGGCAAGCGUUGCUCGGAAUCACUGGGCGUAAAGGGCGCGUAGGCGGGACGGCAAGUCGGUCGUGAAAGCCCUCGGCUCAACCGAGGAGAGUCGGCCGAGACUGUCGUUCUUGAGGGAUGCAGAGGAGACUGGAAUUCCCGGUGUGGCGGUGAAAUGUGUAGAGAUCGGGAGGAACACCGGUGGCGAAGGCGGGUCUCUGGGCAUCUCCUGACGCUGAGGCGCGAAAGCGUGGGGAGCGAACAGGAUUAGAUACCCUGGUAGUCCACGCCGUAAACGAUGAGUGCUAGGUGUUGGGGGCAGUAGCGUCCUCAGUCGG